UUUAAGGUCUAGCCUGCCCAAUGAGGGUUUUAAUGGCCGCAGUAUUUUGACUGUGCAAAGGUAGCAUAAUUAUUAGUUUUUUAAUUGAAAGCUUGUAUGAAGGGUUGGACGAGAUAAAAUCUGUCUUUAUUUAAAUUAAAAUAUAAUUUAACUUUUAAGUAAAAAGGCUUAAAUGUUUGUAAAAGACGAGAAGACCCUAUAGAUCUUUAUUUAAUUAAAAUUUUAAUAAUUUAGGAUUAUUUUAAUUUAAAGUUUUAAUUGAAUUUUAUUGGGGUAAUAUAAAGAUUAAAUAAAUUCUUUUUAUUUAUAACAUUGAUUUAUGAAUAUAUGAUCCAUUAAUAUUGAUUAUAAGAUUAAGUUACCUUAGGGAUAACAGCGUAAUUUUUUUAGAGAGCUCAUAUCGAUAAAAAAGUUUGCGACCUCGAUGUUGGAUUAAAAAUUAGCUUGGGUGCAGAAGCUCAAGAUUUUGGUCUGUUCGACCAUUAAAUUUUUACAUGAUCUGAGUUCAGACCGGUGUAAGCCAGGUCGGUUUCUAUCUUUAUUCAAAUAAAAUGUUUUAGUACGAAAGGACCAAACAUUAAAUAUAAUUAUAUUUUAUUUUU
This 602-nucleotide ribosomal RNA is filed under the name Cicindela (Rivacindela) sp. JP-117. RNAcentral describes it as "partial 16S ribosomal RNA". It matches the Rfam family "Bacterial large subunit ribosomal RNA", at positions 1844 to 2724 of the family's 2925-position model. The record is from RNAcentral. Lineage: Eukaryota; Metazoa; Arthropoda; Insecta; Coleoptera; Carabidae.